GCUUUAGCUCUAUGGGUCUACACACUUCCAGCUGUCAACACUGAACUUUGAUUCCAACUUUGGCCAACUAACUCCACACAAAAUGGCUUAGCCACUUGGGCAUCCACUGAACCGCCGCCCAACUGGGUCCCAGCACCAACUCACUCCCCUACGACCCCAGUGCUGGGUCAGCCAUUGGGCUGGGGUCAUGCCAAUCACAGCUGCCUGGCGAAUGAGCAGGGGGCGUCAGACCGGAAACCGGAUAUGGGUGGGAGGUCCAAUAGGGGGCGCCGCGUUGGAACGCCCGAAGAGGUUGUGCUGAUGGGGUGGUUGGAAGUCGUUGGGGGGCGGGUGUAUGGCGGCUAGGCCUGGAAGACCACGAGGACCGCUAGCGCCGUGGGGUCACCCUUCCUCAUGCCACAGGUUGCCGAGCCUCGGGGGAGAGGUGGGGUCCCAGGGGCCAACCCUUGGGUGCGUUGAUGGCGGCAGGCUAACCUAGCCAACGGGGUGCCGCUGCCGGGAGAGGCAAGGAGCAAGAAGAUUUCCAGGGCUGGGAGGUAGAAGGCCAGGACUACGAGGAGAGGGCUUACUGCGAGGAGCAGCCCAGGAUGGCUAAGGAGUUGAGGCCCCAGGGAUGCUGAGCCUGCACAAGUGGAAGAGACCUUUUGCUUCGUGAACUCAGGCUGAGACAUUACCAGAGGAAAAACUGAACGCUUCAUGUCACAGAAAGCAACACACCAUCAUUGUUUACAUUAAGUAGGAAUUUCGAUUUAUGGGCAAGCCAAAAGCAGGGCAUGCCUAGCCCUUCCGCAGCCUCCAAACUUCCGAGACUAACAUUGCUGCCGCAGAAAACCACUUGCAAAUAAACUUGCUUCUCCGUAUUUAUUACGGAAGACCACAAAGGCAUCUAACCACAGUUUGCGCUGCAGACCAGCAGAACUAAGUCUUGGGCGCCGCGACGCCUUUCCUACGGAAUAGGUCCUGGAAGGAAGACCAUUUAAGGACUGGCGAGGAGAGCACGCCUUCCCUUCCGAAGGUGCGUUACCAGAUUGCGGCCGUUUUUGUGCUGGGUCACCAGAGCAGAUUCCCCUCCAGGUUACAGAUUCUAAACUUAACUCCACCCGAGCUGAAAAUGGCCGGAGCACGCCGCCUGCCCUCCCCAAGGCUGCCGAAGCCGCCGGCCCCUGCCUCCUUUUCGACUGAUCGUCCAAGGACUGGCGCCGGAUCGAACACCUUUCCCCAGCUCUGCGGGUGCCGCGCUCUUUGGAAACGAAUUACUUCAGUGUACUGAAAGUUCUCCCAUUGAGAGCACUUAUGCAGCUGGGUGAACUAUCUACAUGAAAGUGACAUUUGCUCAUCUGUCUUUCUUGCUGAAGUUACCGUCUAAAGAUGCAGCCAAGAAACAGUCGGUCGAACUGUCCCAAACCCCAGCGAGAUGAGCCCGGGCGCUUCUCACUUCCUGCUGGCAUGCUCUGAAGCAGUGUUCCAGCCAGAAGGCCUCUCACAGAACCCAUCCACUCACCUCUGUUCUCACUCCCGGCUUUUCUGGGGAUUGGGUGUGGGGAGCUGGGUCUGUUCUCCCAUUGUGCUCUCUGUUCUUGAUGGGAUGCCAGAAAGUACAAUGCUCUCUUCAUCAAGUUCAAAAACAGGCAAAACCAAGUAAUGCAUACGUGAUAGAAUGUUUACAGCGAGCAUACGAUAAACUCAGCUUCUGCAUUUGGUUUCCUCUGGCAGGGGCGACCACAAGGAGUGGGAGAAGGACAUUCUGCUAGAUGAAGUUCCUGGCUGUGUUCUUUCUUGGAUUCGGCUGCAUAGGGUCACAGGGGUUGAAUGACAAUAGUUUUAAAUACUAACUUUUAAAAGUAUAUGUUCGGACUGCCUCCAUGGGCCAGUGGCAUGGACAGCUGAAACCAACCCAGAGCAUUUGGGGAAUGGUGGGCCUGCUGUGCUAUGGUAAAAGGAGAUUGUUUUGAGGCUGAGCUGUUGCUGACCAGCGUGGUGGGACUUUGCUCACCUGUCUUCUUUCUAUACAAAUUAAGAACCCUCAGAAGAGUUCUUAGCACAUAUUAGGCCCUCAGUAAAUAUGUGUUGAACAAUU
Long non-coding RNA from Chlorocebus sabaeus (green monkey), 2077 nucleotides. RefSeq lists it as uncharacterized. NCBI's taxonomy places the organism in Eukaryota, Metazoa, Chordata, Mammalia, Primates, Cercopithecidae. The record is from RefSeq and is a predicted model, not a curated record.